UACGUAGGCAGCAAGCGUUGUUCGGAGUUACUGGGCGUAAAGAGUGCGUAGGCGGUGCUCUAAGUUUGGUGUGAAAUCUCCCGGCUUAACUGGGAGGGUGCGCCGAAAACUGGAGUGCUUGAGUGUGGGAGAGGCAAGCGGAAUUCCUGGUGUAGCGGUGAAAUGCGUAGAUAUCAGGAGGAACACCUGCGGUGUAGACAGCUUGCUGGACCAUAACUGACGCUGAGGCACGAAAGCGUGGGUAGCAAACAGG
This 253-nucleotide ribosomal RNA is filed under the name uncultured bacterium. RNAcentral's name for it is "partial 16S ribosomal RNA". It matches the Rfam family "Bacterial small subunit ribosomal RNA", at positions 524 to 776 of the family's 1533-position model. The record is from RNAcentral.